This is a long non-coding RNA of Felis catus (domestic cat), 1314 nucleotides long. RefSeq lists it as uncharacterized. Lineage: Eukaryota; Metazoa; Chordata; Mammalia; Carnivora; Felidae. The record is from RefSeq and is a predicted model, not a curated record. The transcript is spliced from 3 exons.
UUGGGGACAUCUAGGGGAUAGCAAGACAGAAGGCAGCGGAAGUUAAGGUAAGACACUCAGGAAAGACUCAAGCCACUUUAUUUAUAUUGUGUUUGAUUUUGUGCUUAAGAGACUGUUAAAUUGCAUUGGGGAAGUGUGGCUGCUAAGUCUAUUUGGUCUUCACUUGAGUCCCCAAACUCUGUAAAUAAAUCCAGAUCCCCAGAGAGGACUUUCUCCUGCUUAAAUGUAGAUUCCUAGUAAGCUAUAAUCCCCUUCCAUUGGCCGUGAGCCUUCUACAGACUAAAUUUAGAAAACUUAAAUUACAACCUAGCAAUGUGGCUCCCCAAAUGAAAUGUAUAGGGCAGAGUACCCAAAAACACCAGGGAAAAUGGUAGUCACAGGGACGUGUCAGGGACCUGGUGGUCAGUCUUACAUGUCUGCAAUCAGAAAGGCAAAGGUCCUAUUCACGUAGAAAGAAAUAGAAUAGUGGGAACCAAUUUAGAACCAUCAGAACAAUGACCUGGGAGACGAGCCUCAUUCUAAUUAUGACUCCGUGUUCCAACCAGGCAUGAAGGAAGUCACAGUAAACCUAUUUCUGAGAAAGGCAUUGCCCAAUGUGGCGAUGUCCGCUAUCUUAUGUGGGGUGAGGGCCAGUGAGUCAGGGAGGAAACAUACCAGAAAAUGAUCUUCGAUGACUAACACAGAAGCGGCUGUUCUCAUGUUGCCCUGAUGGAAAAAUUGGUGGGAUUGCAGGAAUUAAUAAGAACUAUCAGCCCUGCUUGGAUAUUCUGUCCUAAAAUGGUGACAUUUCUGGAGGCUGGGAAGUCCAAGAUCAAGGUGCUUGGUGAUUCGAUGUCUGGUGAGAGCCCACCUGCUGGUUUGUAACAGCAGCCUUCUUGCUGUGUCCUUACUCGCUGGAAGAACAAGAGAGCGCUGUGGCAUCUCUUUUAUAAGGGGCUAAUCCCAUUUGUGAGAGCUCUGCCUUCAUGACCCAAUCACCUUCCAGAAGUCUCACCUCCCCAUCAUAAUGGAGAACAGCUUUCAACAUACGAAUUUGGGGAGGACACAUUUUGUCUAUAGAUAGCACAGAUGUGAUGGUGUUAGGAGGUGACGUCUUUGGGAGGUGAGAACGUCGUGAGGGUUGAGCCGGCAGGAAUGGGGUCAGCGUCCUGAUAAAGAAACCCUUGCUCCUCUCCUAUGAUGUGAGGACACAGCAAGAAGAUGGCCAUCUGAGAGCCAAGAAUCGGGCUCUCACCAGAUACCGAAUCUGCCAGCCCCCCUGAUCUUGGACUCACCAGCCUCCCGAACCACGAACAAUAAAUAUUUGCCGUUUAA